GUAAAGCAUCUGUAGCUACGGCUGAGGUUC
RNAcentral lists this non-coding RNA (30 nucleotides) under Rattus norvegicus (Norway rat). The record is from RNAcentral. Lineage: Eukaryota; Metazoa; Chordata; Mammalia; Rodentia; Muridae.